AAUCGGCGCAAGCCUGAUGCAGCCAUGCCGGGUGUGUGAAGAAGGCCUUCGGGUUGUAAAGCACUUUCACUCAAGAGGAAAGGUUAGUAGUUAAUUCCUGCUAGAUGUGACGUUACCGACAGAAGAAGCACCGGCUAACUCGGUGCCAGCAGCCGCGGUAAUACGGAGGGUGCGAGCGUUAAUCGGAAUUACUGGGCGUAAAGCGUACGCAGGCGGUUUAUUAAGCGAGAUGUGAAAGCCCCGGGCUCAACCUGGGAACUGCAUUUCGAACUGGCAAACUAGAGUGUGAUAGAGGGUGGUAGAAUUUCAGGUGUAGCGGUGAAAUGCGUAGAGAUCUGAAGGAAUACCGAUGGCGAAGGCAGCCACCUGGGUCAACACUGACGCUCAUGUACGAAAGCGUGGGGAGCAAACAGGAUUAGAUACCCUGGUAGUCCACGCCGUAAACGAUGUCUACUAGAAGCUCGGAGCCUCGGCUCUGUUUUUCAAAGCUAACGCAUUAAGUAGACCGCCUG
RNAcentral lists this ribosomal RNA (512 nucleotides) under Pseudoalteromonas sp. RNAcentral describes it as "bacterial SSU rRNA". It matches the Rfam family "Bacterial small subunit ribosomal RNA", at positions 370 to 875 of the family's 1533-position model. The record is from RNAcentral. Lineage: Bacteria; Pseudomonadati; Pseudomonadota; Gammaproteobacteria; Alteromonadales; Pseudoalteromonadaceae.